RNAcentral lists this unclassified non-coding RNA (248 nucleotides) under Hevea brasiliensis (rubber tree). The record is from RNAcentral. Lineage: Eukaryota; Viridiplantae; Streptophyta; Magnoliopsida; Malpighiales; Euphorbiaceae.
AUCAGAUGAAGAAGAAAACGAAGAAGAUGAAGUAGUAGAUGAUAAUUUCAUCUAUCUUCAAUUAACUCUGAAGAAAAUCCCACCAAAAGAACUCACAACCCCUCACAAAAUCACCCUCCCCAACCCCUUUUUCCACCCACUUGAAUCUUUCGCUAAUAUUUGUCUCAUCAUUGACGACAGACCCAGAAAAUCCCACAACUCAAAAACCAAACUUGAUGUUGAAACAGUGCAGAAAAAGCUGAAAUCUG